Molecule: ribosomal RNA, 3440 nt
Filed under: Triticum aestivum (bread wheat)
Lineage: Eukaryota; Viridiplantae; Streptophyta; Magnoliopsida; Poales; Poaceae
Description: partial small subunit ribosomal RNA
Source: RNAcentral
CCGGUGGGCUUGGAUCGGGCUAUUGUGUAUAGCUCUUCCUGCGGCCUCUUCUCCCCCCCUGCACCCCCCAACUCGUCGUCGUCUUCCCAAGGCUCCAACCCUAGCCACCCUUCCUCGGCAUCCUUCCCCCAAGCCGGCGGCGGCCCCGGCGGCCGCACCGUCUGUGAAGAUGUCGGGAGGCUUCUUCCGGGGGACGUCGGCCGACCAGGAUACCAGAUUCUCCAACAAGCAUGCCAAGCUGCUCAAGACGCAGAAGUUCGCGUCCGAGCUUGACCAUCAGGUGGACAUGUCAAAGGUGAAGAUGGACGUGAUGAAGCCGUGGAUUGCCACACGGGUCACCGAGCUUCUUGGGUUCGAGGACGAAGUUCUUAUCAACUUCAUCUACGGCCUGCUCGAUGCGAAGGAGGUGGACGGGAAGUACAUACAGAUCCAGCUGACAGGGUUCAUGGAGAAGAAUACAAUAAAGUUCAUGAGGGAGCUGUGGAGCCUCCUUCUCAGUGCGCAGCAGAAUGCCAGUGGUGUGCCCCAGCAAUUUUUGGAUGCAAAGGAGGCUGAGAUUCAGCAGAGAAAGGCGGAAGAGGCUAGAAUUGCCCAGGAGAUCCAGAAGAAGCGAGAGAAAGAUGGAAGGGACACAGAACUAGAUAAACACAAAAUGAUGGCCGGGGAUACUGGUAAUUCAAGAUCUCAUGGUGAUUCACUUGGCUCUGCUUUAAACAAUCCCAAUGUUGAUGCUGAGAAAGAAAAGGAACUGGACUUGAAGCAUAGCUCGAGAACAAAGAGCCGGGAACAUCGAAGACCUAGGAGCACAUCUUUGUCGCCCCGUGGUAGGCAACGGUCUAUUUCUCCAAGGAGGCGCUCUCCAUCCCCUUCCAGACAAAGAUCAUCACGACGUUCAGCUUCACCUAGGCGUUCUGUUUCCCCCCGAAGGCAUUCCCCAAGAGUUGCUCCUUCAGUGUCUAGGCGGAGGUCACCGUAUUCCAGGAGAUCACCUUCGGUACCUAGAUCCCCAUCACCCCGGCGGAGAUUUCCCAUUAGGAGAAGAUCUCCACCAUCUGGGCGACGUAGAUCACCAUCUCCUUAUCGCCGUCGGUCCCCAGCUCGCGCACCUAGAAGAUCACCAUCUCCUGCGCGUCGCAGAUCACCUCCUCGACACAGAUUACCAGCAGAUAGGCACCGGUCCCCAUCGCCAGGAAGACGCAGGCCACGGUCCCCAUCACCUGUAAGACGCAGGCCACGGUCCCCAUCACCUAGAAGGCAUAGACCACGUUCUCCAGGAAGACGGCAGUCCCUGUCACCUCACCGCUCACUGCAGUUGAGGUCACCAAAACGCCAGAGAAAAUCCCCAAUUUCAAUUAGGACGCUUUCUGCAAAUCGUCCAGUCUCUCCACAGCGGAGGAGGAGUAGCAGUCCACACAGCAGGAGUCCAAAUCGUUCACGUAGGAGUUCGAGCAGGGACGCAGAAAAGGGAACAAACGGUGCACCCUCCACUAAAGGCAGGGAUCUGGCUCAAAGGAACCAAGAAAGGAGUGGCCGAGAGUCACCGGAUUUUGAACACCGUAGGCUCACAAAAUCCUUGAGGUCUCCUACUAAUGAUGCAAAAAGAGAUUCCACACGUGGCAGUCCUUUGAAGGACACUGGGAAACAUAUGCCCAGUCAGGACAGCACAAAUACCAGUGGAGACGAGGAAGAAGGCGGGCGUGCAAGGGAGAAUGCACGGAAGGCCAAUUCAUCACGCAGGGUAUCCAAGGAUUUCUCAGCUGAUCUGCAACUAAAGGAAGUCAACGUUGAUAACUCAAUCCCUGGAGAAAAACCCUCUUCCAGAUCAAGACAGUAUGGCGGCAAGGAUGUCCCCAAGAAAUAUGAUAAUCAGCUAUCAGAUUCUUCAGAAGAUGCGCUUGAUGGUAGAAGAAUGAAACGCCAGGGUGAUUCCCCUGAUGAUUCUCCUGUGAAACGGCAGUCCCCUAGUAGAGCCGGCGACUCUUAUCCAAAGGAUGGGAUUAACAAUGAGCGUGCCAAAACGGAUUCAUUUGGUGCUUCUUAUGAUGCUAUUGCAGCGAAGAAAUACUCUGGUAAAGUUGAUGAAGCUUUCCAAUCAGAUGGUGGAAGUCCUCUUCAAAAAGCUAAGAAAAGAACAUAUGAUAGUAAACACAUUGAUCAUGGCAGUUCGGGCUCAGAAGAAUCUGAGAAACACAGAUCCCAGUCUGAGAAGCGAGGACAUAAAAAGGGUCACAAGCAUAAGAAGCAUUAUGAUGAUAGUUUUGAUUCUGAUUCUGACUCAGAUGACAAGGAGUCCAAGAGGAGGAGGCGAGAAGAGAAAAAGCUACGAAAAGAGGAAAGGCGCCUUAGACGUGAAGAACGGCACCGCAGAAGGGCGGACCGUCAUGCCAGUAAACAGAAAUUGAAGUAUGCUGGUUCUCCCCUGUCAGAUCUUGAGAAGGAUCGUCAAUCUGGCUCAGAUGCUGAUGUUGGGAAGAAAGGUUCAUACACUCCGAGAGAAGAACCUGACCCAAACAAACUUGAAAUUGAGCUUCGACAGAGAGCUCUUGAAUCUCUUGCAAAGAAAUCAAAGCAUGUUGUUACUCCCUCUUCAGAUGUCGAGAAGGACCGUGAAUCUGACUCGGAUGCUGAUGUUAGGAAGAGAGUUUCAUAGGCUGGCUGAGAAGAAUCUGAUAAAAAUAAACUUGAAGGGUUGAGCUUCGGGAGAAGACCCGUGAAACUAUAUAGAUCAAAGAAAGCUGCCAAUCACUAGGCUGGGGAAUUUCUCUCAAUGCAUUUACACGUUUCUAUUUUUCAAGAGCAUAUCUAUGUGUUAUUGAAGUGUGCUCAUAUGAUACCUGUUUAAUGUUCUGUAUGUUUAUGUGGCAGUUGAUCUGAGUAAUUGACGAUUCCUGAGCUUUCCUUGUUGCAGCUGCUUUCAGGCUUAGCUGCUUUUAUCUGAUUAGCACCAUGUGAACAAGGUUUUUAUGUACCAGAGAUUUAACAGCACCUCAGCGACAACCAGCUGGUUGCACCUUUGAUGAUUGUGAAACUCUCCUAAAGUGCUCCUGUUUCGUUUUGGUUGCUGCUCCUUAGAAUGAGGUUUGUGCAGUAAGUUCUUUUGUGUGUGUGUGUGUGUGUGUGUGGCUAUGUCCUGAUGAAGCAAAUGAAAUUUCUUGUAAGUAUUUGAAGGUUGCUAACUUCACAGUGAAUGCCCAUGAGUAUUCUACUGUUGAAUGAACAUGAGUUGUCCUUUUAUAUUUUGUGGUUCCUAGCAUUCAGGUGCAAGUCUUGGGUAGGAGUUAUAUUUCUUUGUAUAUAGUUUCUAAUGUGAGCAUAUGAGCUGCCAUUUCUUGCUUUUUUUUGCCGGGGCAUUUCUUGCUCUAUUGGGUGGGCUUACAUGAUGUUGAAGCAAUAUUGAUUGUGUUCUGCCAUCUGCUUGCUUUUGCUUGGAACAGUUUUUU